GGAGAUAUAGCUCAGUUGGUAGAGUGCUUGCCUCACAUGCAUAAGGCCCUGGGUUCAAUCCCCAGCAUUACUG
RNAcentral lists this transfer RNA (73 nucleotides) under Ictidomys tridecemlineatus (thirteen-lined ground squirrel). RNAcentral's name for it is "Spermophilus tridecemlineatus (thirteen-lined ground squirrel) tRNA". It matches the Rfam family "tRNA". From Rfam's summary of the family: Transfer RNA (tRNA) molecules are approximately 80 nucleotides in length. Their secondary structure includes four short double-helical elements and three loops (D, anti-codon, and T loops). Further hydrogen bonds mediate the characteristic L-shaped molecular structure. tRNAs have two regions of fundamental functional importance: the anti-codon, which is responsible for specific mRNA codon recognition, and the 3' end, to which the tRNAs corresponding amino acid is attached (by aminoacyl-tRNA synthetases). tRNAs cope with the degeneracy of the genetic code in two manners: having more than one tRNA (with a specific anti-codon) for a particular amino acid; and 'wobble' base-pairing, i.e. permitting non-standard base-pairing at the 3rd anti-codon position. The record is from Rfam by way of RNAcentral. Lineage: Eukaryota; Metazoa; Chordata; Mammalia; Rodentia; Sciuridae.